UCCAUUAGGCAGUGGGAGGUGAGAAGGGAGGAAGCAUUAUUUAUUUGAUUUAUAUUCCCGACGCCAAAGGGACCACCAUUUCCUCUGUUUCCCCCCGAACUGGAUUCACUUCUCUGAUUUCACCUGAUAUUUCAUAUUUUUUUUUCUUCAGCCUUAAUUUGGGAGCCACUGACUGCUGGUUGUUUGGCUCCUGUGUCAGUAAUUUUGGGCUUCAAGUUUAAAAAAAUCUGAAAGUGUGGAUUAAACAAGAUGGAUAUGUAGUUUUCUCUCAAACAACCUAAAGUUGGAAACUUGGUAGUCCAGAGCCGGUCUGCAGCACCACAACGCCAAGGAUGGUGCUUAUUCCUUGGCCUGCACUUUUCCUCUCAGAACCGCCUCACGUCAGGGUUUCUGCAACUCCAGCCUUCACAUCUACCACACAGGGGGAAGAAAUCGAGACCCAGAGAAGUGAAGAAACUUGCCCAAGUAGCUGAGGCAGAACUGAAACUGGAUCACAUAUUUCUCCAUUCCUGACUGCCACCUUGCAGAAGAAUCUAUGGAUCUUCAUUUUGCUUCUUAGCAAGAAGGAUAAACUUUGCUUCAGAGAGAGUCAUGCAAGCCCCUUUUGCUGGGAUGUGGCCCAGGGAGAGAGGGAUGGAAUGAAUAUGGGGUUCUAGAAUAUCAAUACUGUGCAAGAAUCGGUAUUUCCUAGACAAGCCUGACUUGUGAAAAUAAGAUAUACUCACUGGCAAGAGAAGUGUAAUUGCUUGACUAUAGAUUACCUAAUGUAGUUUGGAUCUUAUCAUUGGAAAGUCUGAACAAAUCUGAGUUCUCCUGCACUGCUUCCUCACAUCUUUAAUUGUUGUGGCCUAGAGCAAUCACUGCUUUCUUUCAAGGAGCUCUUGCCACUGUGCUGACAUUGAGUGUCUCUGUGUGAAGAUUUGUGCCUUUCUGGUGUUGUUUUCAUCUUAUAAAUUAAAAAGGAGGCAAAAAUAGAUCCUGCCAAAGGUCACACCACCUCAGUAUUAGGACCAGUCUCUUCAUUUACAAAAAGGGAUGCUCAGCCUAGGAGGGAUGGACCAGGUAGCCCUGGUUCUCUUCUAGCUGCUGGUCCUCUCUGGUGCCUGUCAGUCUGCCAGAGCCAGUGCCACAACUCUCUUAGUGCCCAUCAUUAUCUUGGUUUGCAAGGAGGCCCUUCUGGGUUUGGAGAGGGUCAGGGCACAGGGCCAGCCAAGAUGAGAGGCCACAGAGAAGAAAUGAGGAAAAAAAUCCUGGGGAAAUGCAUCAAAACAACACUGAGAACACAACACUGGCUAUAUACUAAGGAUUGGCGAGAAAGUGAAAUAGCCCCGUUCAAGGUCAGAGCAGUGAGGACAUUCUCAAGUUAACUGAAAUCAAUUCUCCUUUCCUUUCAGCCUGGCAGCUGAAUCUGGUGGGUGCCUAGGAAGCUGGAACACUAAGAGACAGCCCUGGCAGCUGCAUGAGCAAAAGGACUUAAGCACGAGAGGCAGCAUCUCAAGUAACCCUGAGAGACCUUCUUUGAGGAUGGGGGACAGUGGGGAGAGCCAGUUUCAUACAAAUUUUGCAACAAAGAGGAGAUCCUGGCCAGAGAGGUAGGAGAGCAUGGAAAUCUACUUGUUUUGUGGCCAUUCAAGGUAA
Molecule: non-coding RNA, 1638 nt
Organism: Odocoileus virginianus texanus
Lineage: Eukaryota; Metazoa; Chordata; Mammalia; Artiodactyla; Cervidae
Source: RefSeq, a predicted model, not a curated record